This is a long non-coding RNA of Homo sapiens (human), 2808 nucleotides long. RefSeq lists it as uncharacterized. The transcript is spliced from 9 exons. Lineage: Eukaryota; Metazoa; Chordata; Mammalia; Primates; Hominidae. The record is from RefSeq and is a predicted model, not a curated record.
GCAACAUUAAUAUACAGAUAGCUAGUCUCUCACCAGAUUUGUUUCUAUUUCUGUUUUUUUGGAGGUGACACUCAGGUAUGGACCUGCAAAUUACUUUCUUAAAGAAAUGAACACACUCAUUUUUGUUGUAUAUUUUUGCUCUAAAGGCUUUCCGGCAAACAGGCGAUCAAUGAUUUACAGCCUACAUCAGCUAAGGAAGACCGUGAUUGUGAUAUCAAGGAAGAAACAACUAAAUCAGCAAGUGCAAAAAGACAAAAUGAUAUUGAUGUUAUUGAAAGUGUUCCACAAGAGCAAACCAGUAACGUCAAAUUUACGUUUUGUUCACAAAGAUGGUAGAAGUGCCCAGAAUUUAGAAAGUAGUAAUCACCCCUAAUACCAAACUUCCACUUAAGAUUGAAGGAGAAAUGAAGAAGCAUGGAAGUAACAACAUGGGAUUAUCAGAAAACUUGACUGAUGCUGCUGGCAAUGGUGUUGAUGAACUAAUUCCACAAAGAAAGAGUGAAAAACCUGAAAAUCAGCAAUUUCCUAGGACAGAGAAUGAGAAGUAUCAAAGGUUAAAAGACAAAUAUAUUCUGUGAAUGACCUCGACGACUUAACUUGGCUAUCUGAAACAUCCUCCGAGGAUUCCUAUUGAAAAUGCAAGAUGCAGUUCUUUCAUGGGAACACUUAUUAGAACUUAAGAAUAAUCAUUGUGAACAACUUACAGUAAAUAUUAAACAAAUGGAAAAUAUGGUUGGUGUACUACAAAAGGAGCUAUCUGAAGCAAAAGAAACACAAUUACAGUUAGAGCAUGAAAAAGGUCAAUGGGAACAAGAACAAGAACGCUACAGUUUGAGAAUGACCUUAAAAGAAGAAGAAAAGAGAAGAAAUGAUGAUAUGUUGCCUAAAAAAGAUAGUGAACAGUUAAAAAGAAAAGAAAAGGAAUGCGGGAAAGAAGUUGAAACAACUCAAACAGACUCUGAAAUCACUGGUCACAGAAUUGAGGACAUAAGGAAAGAAUUUGGAUCAGGUUGUGCAGAAGCGAAGCGAUACCCACAAGCAACUUUCUGAAGAGCAGAAUGCCAGAAUAUUACAAGAUGAGAUUCUGACCAGUAAGCAAAAGGAGGUUGAAGGGGCUCAAAAGAAAAUGAAUUCUGAGGGAACUGCAGCAUGGGAUGCAACAUUCUUGGAAGAACUGAGAAGAGUACUCACUCAAAUUACCUUCUGUGUGGUUUCUAUGGUUUCUCCACACUGGUUGAGAAAGUUCUGAAAACCGCAAUCCAGAGGAUGGAAUAGUAGGAAGUCAGAUCCUGAGAGUCCUGGGGACCCUGAGGAACAAGCUUGCUCACAUCUGUGUUUUGUGAGCAGGAAAGGCUGAACACGAAGGCCCUGGGCCGAGCUGCAGAAGUCUCUCCUCUAAGAUCUGUUGGCAGAGGUAACAGGUAAGAAAUGACAGAUUUCUCCUUGUAAGGAAGUCCCAAUCUCUCCUCCUCAACCCCAAGUUUCAUUUUUCUCAUUCAUCUCUCCAUUUCUGUUCAACAAUGCUUUGCAUGUAAUUGACACUAUACAAAUGCUUGUUGAAUGAACAAAUUAAUACACAAAAAUAUCAAUGAAUAAAUGCCAACCCCAGAAAUAUCUGGUUAUGCCUGUUUGAAUAGUCCUAGAGACUUUCAUCCAUGUGACUGGCUUACUGUGAACCAUCAAUGACAAUGUAGCACAAAUGCUAGCGGGAUACGGAGGAGUCUUUUCCUGUUAGAGCUGGAAGAGGCCCUAGAGCUUAUCAUAUCCCAAAGUCCCAAACCAGUGAACGCUAGCAGAGUAUACUUAUUUACCAUGCAUAAUCUUGUUGCUGCUGAUGUUGACUGUUACUUUGGAAUUAGUUACCAACAUAGAAAAAUUAGGAGACUUCACAAAAAGUGAUUCAGGGGCUGUUUGGGGAAAAAAACUAGAAAAUAGCUACAGAAAAUAGCCUGGGCUGACUAGUUGCUGCCCCUCUUGCAUUCUAUUUUAUUAGUGUAUUUAUUCUUCUUGGUCUUCUUUCAAGAAUGGCUCCCAUUUUAGAUGGAGUGUGUUCUAUUCAUUUAAUGCAGCUCCCAACCACCCCCAGUGCACCUGAUGCAUAGACAGGACCUGUCCAGCCCUGGUAGCAGUUGCAUUUGUGAUGCCUAAUUUAAUCCUAUGCCACUCCACUACCCUUUUUUCAAUAAGAAAACUGAGGCCCACUCAAUUUGCCUCCCUAAAAAUGUGUCUGAUUUGGGUCUCAUUCCUACAUUGUCUUCCAUCCACUGCCAUAGUAAACACUGAAAAAUACAGAUGUAACAAGGUCACCCUUCUGCUUAAAAUCCUUCGGUGGCUCCUUACUAGUUUGGAAGAUCCCAGUCUUCUUGUCAUGGCUAAUGAGACCUUUCAAUGCAAAGCCUACUUUACCAGCCUUAACUCUGACAACGCUAAUAAGCCAGCCACACCAAACAUCUUCAAGUUAUUUUACUCUGCCAUAUCGUUUUGUGCCUCACUAUCUCUGUCUAUGCUGAUCUCUUUGCCUGGAAUGCCCAUCCUUAUCAUUUGUCUGACAAACUCAUGCACAUUCGGCACUUAGCUCAGGCACCUGUGAUUCUGCCCUGCCAAUGCCUCCACCCUCCUCCUACUUCUCCUCCUCCUCCAUCAUCUCUGAGCCAUAGGGCUAAGCUCACACCUCUAUUUAUAGCUCUUAGAACAGUCAGUUAUAACUUCCCUACUAGAGUAUGUGCUCCUUGAGGGAAGAGACCACAGACCAUUCAUUUUUAUCUUCUGCAUUUUUUCCCAGUGUUCAAUAAAUGUUGAAUAAACAAA